Molecule: transfer RNA, 72 nt
Filed under: Camelus bactrianus (Bactrian camel)
Lineage: Eukaryota; Metazoa; Chordata; Mammalia; Artiodactyla; Camelidae
Also listed under: 2 other names
Rfam family: tRNA
About the family: Transfer RNA (tRNA) molecules are approximately 80 nucleotides in length. Their secondary structure includes four short double-helical elements and three loops (D, anti-codon, and T loops).
Source: Rfam by way of RNAcentral
GAGGGUAUAGCUCAGUGGUAGAGUGCAUGCCUAGCAUGCCUGGGGUCCUGGGUUCAAUUCCCAGUACCUCCG